This is a long non-coding RNA of Passer domesticus (house sparrow), 1809 nucleotides long. RefSeq lists it as uncharacterized. Lineage: Eukaryota; Metazoa; Chordata; Aves; Passeriformes; Passeridae. The transcript is spliced from 4 exons. The record is from RefSeq and is a predicted model, not a curated record.
CACUACUCCAGGUCAUAUGCCUUCUAUAGGAAGUACUGGGCUCCUAGUGUCUUCCCUACCUGGUGUAUGUCAUCCAUACAACUGACCGUUGCCUAGCCACUGGCCCUGCAAAUAGUCCCACAAUUCAUUGCACAUAUAGCCAGACACCCUUUCAGACAGGGGCUCCAAUAUUGGUAAUCCAGUCACCCUGUGGGUUUUUUCCAGCUGUCAGACCUUGUGCUAAUCCUGUUUACUGCUUUUAAACUGAUCACUGAUGAAAGUUUGUUUUCUUGGUGUUAUUUAAGUAGGAAGACUCAGUACAAAAGACAGAGAUGGCAUCAAUCAUCUUAAGAUCUUGAUGGCUUGUGUUCACCAAGGACUGCUUGUAGAACAAGAAAUAUGCAUUUAGGCCCUGAGAAAUCACAGGUGUCAGCAGGGUUCAUCUGCAAUGUCUUUCAGUGCAAAGUUUUAAAAGGAAAUGUUGUUGAGAGUUAGUUUCUCCUUCCAGAGAAGCUUCAUGAAGAAGGUCAUCUCAGAUCUGUGUAGUGCUAUUGUUCUUCACCAGGUUCUUCAGGCUAGAAUGGGAAUUAUUUUACUCUUCAACAGUUUAAAAAUGGCAGGUCUCAUCAAGGCAGGCUAGAUCCAUGCUUUCCCACUGCCCCUGGGUACUAUCAGCGCUAGCAAAACUUGUGCUCUUGUUGAAGAGUGGGUCUAGUGAUAUAGUGGUUGAAAGCAAUAGCUGGGCUUGGUGACCAUGGAAGCUUCACUGAACCAUGACAUCGUAUGAGUGUGUCUGAGUUGGCUCUGAGAGCAAAAAUAGGGCCAGGUAUUUUCAAACUAGAAAUUCUUCAACGCAGCAUCACUGGAGUCAAAAGGAAACAGAGAUGAGUUGCUUCAAAACGGCGGUAGCCUGGCUUCUGGUGAUCAGUCCAGAUUCUAUCUGGGAGACCUAGAAAGGAUUGUGGGAAGUGAAUAAAGAAGACAGGAAGGAAUGUUGGAGAAAAGGAAAAAAAUGUGGAAAGGAAAGAGAAGGGAAAGAGAGUCUCCCUUGCUCUCUGCUCUGCAGGUGACAUCCUGCAAGGACUCCUGCUCCAUCCUCAGUCCUAGUGAUGUGACACCACUGAAUCCAGUUGAACUCCAGUGUUUGAAAACACUGCUGACAAUGAGAGCAGCAUCAGACCCACCUCAUUGUGAUCAUUCCCAGGAGAGGUUUGAGAUAUCCCAGGAAGGGAAGAUCUGCAGAGUUUCUGAUUCACCUCCUAAGGGAAGAUGAACGACUAUUCAGCACUGGACCAAGGAGCCAUCUAGCCCAGGCCUCCACAAAACACUUAAGAAAGGUGACCAUAGUAAGCAUAAAUGAUACCUCUCUCCUCAUAUUGUCUCUCCUUUCCAGCUAUGAGACCUCCUGAUCCAGACAUAGUUUCUUUGUGUAUAACAACCCACAAUAAAAUCACCCUUUUCAGUUUGUUCUGUCUCCUCUUGAAUGAAUGCAAAUUUCAGCUUUGCCAUACAGCCUAGGUAAUAUGAAAAUCAAGCUAACGCACUGUAGUUAUAUAGUUAUAGUGUAGCCAAUGUUUUUCAAUUCUCUGUGUAUCAAAUGGAUAUAUGGAUUUGUUCUUAUAAAUUAAAAGCCCUAGAAGAUCAGCCAGUUCCCUGAAAUGGGCUGCACAGUGAGUUACUCCAGCAGGGAGAAUCUUACUAAGCCUUAGAACAUCCCCCUUCCCAAGAAUGGCCCUUUCAUCCGCUGCUUGUCCGCAUAAAACAAAAACAAAAUCCAACCCAAGCAGAACUGUUCCCGUGUGCAUAUCAUCCCUGGGAGACCAGCAAAGA